ACGGACGUAGCUCAGUCGGUAGAGCGGCGGUCUGGCAAAACCGUUGGCCGGGGUUCGACUCCCUCCGUCCGUG
RNAcentral lists this transfer RNA (73 nucleotides) under Streptomyces gardneri. Its description in RNAcentral is "tRNA-OTHER". It matches the Rfam family "tRNA". From Rfam's summary of the family: Transfer RNA (tRNA) molecules are approximately 80 nucleotides in length. Their secondary structure includes four short double-helical elements and three loops (D, anti-codon, and T loops). The record is from RNAcentral. Lineage: Bacteria; Bacillati; Actinomycetota; Actinomycetes; Kitasatosporales; Streptomycetaceae.